RNAcentral lists this ribosomal RNA (2927 nucleotides) under Escherichia coli. RNAcentral's name for it is "23S ribosomal RNA". It matches the Rfam family "Bacterial large subunit ribosomal RNA". Lineage: Bacteria; Pseudomonadati; Pseudomonadota; Gammaproteobacteria; Enterobacterales; Enterobacteriaceae. The record is from RNAcentral.
GGGUUGUGAGGUUAAGCGACUAAGCGUACACGGUGGAUGCCCUGGCAGUCAGAGGCGAUGAAGGACGUGCUAAUCUGCGAUAAGCGUCGGUAAGGUGAUAUGAACCGUUAUAACCGGCGAUUUCCGAAUGGGGAAACCCAGUGUGUUUCGACACACUAUCAUUAACUGAAUCCAUAGGUUAAUGAGGCGAACCGGGGGAACUGAAACAUCUAAGUACCCCGAGGAAAAGAAAUCAACCGAGAUUCCCCCAGUAGCGGCGAGCGAACGGGGAGGAGCCCAGAGCCUGAAUCAGUGUGUGUGUUAGUGGAAGCGUCUGGAAAGGCGCGCGAUACAGGGUGACAGCCCCGUACACAAAAAUGCACAUGCUGUGAGCUCGAUGAGUAGGGCGGGACACGUGGUAUCCUGUCUGAAUAUGGGGGGACCAUCCUCCAAGGCUAAAUACUCCUGACUGACCGAUAGUGAACCAGUACCGUGAGGGAAAGGCGAAAAGAACCCCGGCGAGGGGAGUGAAAAAGAACCUGAAACCGUGUACGUACAAGCAGUGGGAGCACGCUUCGGCGUGUGACUGCGUACCUUUUGUAUAAUGGGUCAGCGACUUAUAUUCUGUAGCAAGGUUAACCGAAUAGGGGAGCCGAAGGGAAACCGAGUCUUAACUGGGCGUUAAGUUGCAGGGUAUAGACCCGAAACCCGGUGAUCUAGCCAUGGGCAGGUUGAAGGUUGGGUAACACUAACUGGAGGACCGAACCGACUAAUGUUGAAAAAUUAGCGGAUGACUUGUGGCUGGGGGUGAAAGGCCAAUCAAACCGGGAGAUAGCUGGUUCUCCCCGAAAGCUAUUUAGGUAGCGCCUCGUGAAUUCAUCUCCGGGGGUAGAGCACUGUUUCGGCAAGGGGGUCAUCCCGACUUACCAACCCGAUGCAAACUGCGAAUACCGGAGAAUGUUAUCACGGGAGACACACGGCGGGUGCUAACGUCCGUCGUGAAGAGGGAAACAACCCAGACCGCCAGCUAAGGUCCCAAAGUCAUGGUUAAGUGGGAAACGAUGUGGGAAGGCCCAGACAGCCAGGAUGUUGGCUUAGAAGCAGCCAUCAUUUAAAGAAAGCGUAAUAGCUCACUGGUCGAGUCGGCCUGCGCGGAAGAUGUAACGGGGCUAAACCAUGCACCGAAGCUGCGGCAGCGACANNNNNNNNNNNNNNNNNNNNNNNNNNNNNNNNNNNNNNNNNNNNNNNNNNNNNNNNNUAUGCUGGAGGUAUCAGAAGUGCGAAUGCUGACAUAAGUAACGAUAAAGCGGGUGAAAAGCCCGCUCGCCGGAAGACCAAGGGUUCCUGUCCAACGUUAAUCGGGGCAGGGUGAGUCGACCCCUAAGGCGAGGCCGAAAGGCGUAGUCGAUGGGAAACAGGUUAAUAUUCCUGUACUUGGUGUUACUGCGAAGGGGGGACGGAGAAGGCUAUGUUGGCCGGGCGACGGUUGUCCCGGUUUAAGCGUGUAGGCUGGUUUUCCAGGCAAAUCCGGAAAAUCAAGGCUGAGGCGUGAUGACGAGGCACUACGGUGCUGAAGCAACAAAUGCCCUGCUUCCAGGAAAAGCCUCUAAGCAUCAGGUAACAUCAAAUCGUACCCCAAACCGACACAGGUGGUCAGGUAGAGAAUACCAAGGCGCUUGAGAGAACUCGGGUGAAGGAACUAGGCAAAAUGGUGCCGUAACUUCGGGAGAAGGCACGCUGAUAUGUAGGUGAGGUCCCUCGCGGAUGGAGCUGAAAUCAGUCGAAGAUACCAGCUGGCUGCAACUGUUUAUUAAAAACACAGCACUGUGCAAACACGAAAGUGGACGUAUACGGUGUGACGCCUGCCCGGUGCCGGAAGGUUAAUUGAUGGGGUUAGCGGUAACGCGAAGCUCUUGAUCGAAGCCCCGGUAAACGGCGGCCGUAACUAUAACGGUCCUAAGGUAGCGAAAUUCCUUGUCGGGUAAGUUCCGACCUGCACGAAUGGCGUAAUGAUGGCCAGGCUGUCUCCACCCGAGACUCAGUGAAAUUGAACUCGCUGUGAAGAUGCAGUGUACCCGCGGCAAGACGGAAAGACCCCGUGAACCUUUACUAUAGCUUGACACUGAACAUUGAGCCUUGAUGUGUAGGAUAGGUGGGAGGCUUUGAAGUGUGGACGCCAGUCUGCAUGGAGCCGACCUUGAAAUACCACCCUUUAAUGUUUGAUGUUCUAACGUUGACCCGUAAUCCGGGUUGCGGACAGUGUCUGGUGGGUAGUUUGACUGGGGCGGUCUCCUCCUAAAGAGUAACGGAGGAGCACGAAGGUUGGCUAAUCCUGGUCGGACAUCAGGAGGUUAGUGCAAUGGCAUAAGCCAGCUUGACUGCGAGCGUGACGGCGCGAGCAGGUGCGAAAGCAGGUCAUAGUGAUCCGGUGGUUCUGAAUGGAAGGGCCAUCGCUCAACGGAUAAAAGGUACUCCGGGGAUAACAGGCUGAUACCGCCCAAGAGUUCAUAUCGACGGCGGUGUUUGGCACCUCGAUGUCGGCUCAUCACAUCCUGGGGCUGAAGUAGGUCCCAAGGGUAUGGCUGUUCGCCAUUUAAAGUGGUACGCGAGCUGGGUUUAGAACGUCGUGAGACAGUUCGGUCCCUAUCUGCCGUGGGCGCUGGAGAACUGAGGGGGGCUGCUCCUAGUACGAGAGGACCGGAGUGGACGCAUCACUGGUGUUCGGGUUGUCAUGCCAAUGGCACUGCCCGGUAGCUAAAUGCGGAAGAGAUAAGUGCUGAAAGCAUCUAAGCACGAAACUUGCCCCGAGAUGAGUUCUCCCUGACUCCUUGAGAGUCCUGAAGGAACGUUGAAGACGACGACGUUGAUAGGCCGGGUGUGUAAGCGCAGCGAUGCGUUGAGCUAACCGGUACUAAUGAACCGUGAGGCUUAACCUUACAACGCCGAAG